RNAcentral lists this ribosomal RNA (497 nucleotides) under uncultured bacterium. RNAcentral describes it as "partial 16S ribosomal RNA". It matches the Rfam family "Bacterial small subunit ribosomal RNA", at positions 28 to 507 of the family's 1533-position model. The record is from RNAcentral.
GAUGAACGCUGGCGGCGUGCCUAAUACAUGCAAGUCGAGCGAACGGACGAGAAGCUUGCUUCUCUGAUGUUAGCGGCGGACGGGUGAGUAACACGUGGAUAACCUACCUAUAAGACUGGGAUAACUUCGGGAAACCGAAGCUAAUACCGGAUGAUAUUUUGAACCGCAUGGUUCAAAAGUGAAAGACGGUCUUGCUGUCACUUAUAGAUGGAUCCGCGCUGCAUUAGCUAGUUGGUAAGGUAACGGCUUACCAAGGCAACGAUGCAUAGCCGACCUGAGAGGGUGAUCGGCCACACUGGAACUGAGACACGGUCCAGACUCCUACGGGAGGCAGCAGUAGGGAAUCUUCCGCAAUGGGCGAAAGCCUGACGGAGCAACGCCGCGUGAGUGAUGAAGGUCUUCGGAUCGUAAAACUCUGUUAUUAGGGAAGAACAUAUGUGUAAGUAACUGUGCACAUCUUGACGGUACCUAAUCAGAAAGCCGCGGCUAACUACGUG